Molecule: transfer RNA, 72 nt
Filed under: Ovis aries (sheep)
Lineage: Eukaryota; Metazoa; Chordata; Mammalia; Artiodactyla; Bovidae
Rfam family: tRNA
About the family: Transfer RNA (tRNA) molecules are approximately 80 nucleotides in length. Their secondary structure includes four short double-helical elements and three loops (D, anti-codon, and T loops).
Source: Rfam by way of RNAcentral
UCCCUGGUGGCUCAGACGGUAAAGUGUCUGUCUGCAAUGCAGGAGACCCGGGUUUGAUCCCUGGGUUGGGAA